GAGGAGGAGGAGGAUGAUAAUCAUAAUGAUGACUUUAAUUUUUGACGAUGGGGUUGGUGAGGCGAACUAAAGGUCCGAGAAAAAAGUAAGUAUUAAGUAACAUGUUAAACUUUUAAUUUUAUUUAUUUAUUUAUUUAUUUUCUAAUUGCUUUUAAUUUAUUGAAAUUUAUUACUACUGCUUUAUUAGUUCAAAUUGCAAAUUAUGAUUAGAGUUUACCUAACAACCAAGUAACCAUGAUUACUAAAACACUUGUAUCACAAAAAAAUUAAGUUUAAUUAGUUUGUGUUUUCUUCAUUUGAGCUAUUUUCAUAUGUUAGGAAAUUUUAAGAAUAUCUUUCAUGCUCUCCAUGUGAUCACAUGGAUAUAGAAUAUUUGUAGCUAUUGAUUGAUAUGGUGAAAUAGGUAUUAUUAUAACAAUUUGAUGUGCCAUUUAUAUUAGGUUGUAUCAUAUUUACGAUGUUUUUACUUAGCUUCAAGAUACUUCUUAUAAUUUUAUGACAUGGAUGGUUCAUAUCGUUGGUAAAUAGGACAUUUAUUUGAAUGUUUAAGGAAUUUCACAGUUAUGUCUUGUUUCCAAUCUUUCUUGUUACAUGGGCAUUUCGUAUUAUAUUUAUAAUCUUUCUUGUUACACAUGAUCUGGUUUAUUUGUUUGUUGUUAUGUAGGCAAAGGAGAUUUGAAGGGGUGCAAAGCUUUUGGGCAGACGAAGAUGACUUGAUGUAUUUUUAGUUUAUUUACCUCCUUGGAUGGAUGAUGGACUUGUAUAACAUUUGAUUGUUGAACUUUAUAAUAUUUUCUAGAAGCUUGAACAAGAUAGAUCUUGUAAAAUUUGUUGAGAUCUUUAUAUUUGUUGAAUUAUGAGUUGAUCGAGUUCAAUUAUUACUCUUGUAUGUGAAAUUAAGAUGUGUUGAAUGUAUAUAAAUGUUAUUUGAA
Long non-coding RNA from Zingiber officinale, 932 nucleotides. RefSeq lists it as uncharacterized. NCBI's taxonomy places the organism in Eukaryota, Viridiplantae, Streptophyta, Magnoliopsida, Zingiberales, Zingiberaceae. The transcript has 2 exons. The record is from RefSeq and is a predicted model, not a curated record.